RNAcentral lists this ribosomal RNA (440 nucleotides) under uncultured bacterium. Its description in RNAcentral is "partial 16S ribosomal RNA". It matches the Rfam family "Bacterial small subunit ribosomal RNA", at positions 339 to 795 of the family's 1533-position model. The record is from RNAcentral.
CUACGGGCCGCAGCAGUGAGGAAUAUUGCACAAUGGGGGGAACCCUGAUGCAGCAACGCCGCGUGGAGGAUGACGCAUUUUGGUGCGUAAACUCCUUUUAUAUGUCAAGAAAAUGACGGUAGCAUAUGAAUAAGCACCGGCUAACUCCGUGCCAGCAGCCGCGGUAAUAGCGGAGGGUGCAAGCGUUACUCGGAAUCACUGGGCGUAAAGGACGCGUAGGCGGGUUGGAAAGUCAGGUGUGAAAUCCUACAGCUUAACUGUAGAACUGCACUUGAAACUUCUAAUCUAGAGUAUGGGAGGGGGAGAUGGAAUUAGUGGUGUAGGGGUAAAAUCCGUAGAUAUCACUAGGAAUACCUAAAGCGAAGGCGAUCUCCUGGAACAUUACUGACGCUAAGGCGUGAAAGCGUGGGGAGCAAACAGGAUUAGAUACCCUGGUAGUC